This 426-nucleotide ribosomal RNA is filed under the name Megaselia fumata. RNAcentral's name for it is "partial 16S ribosomal RNA". Lineage: Eukaryota; Metazoa; Arthropoda; Insecta; Diptera; Phoridae. The record is from RNAcentral.
UUUUAGAAUUUAAUUUAAAGUCUAACCUGCCCACUGAGUAUUUUAAAUGGCCGCAGUAUCUUAACUGUGCAAAGGUAGCAUAAUCAUUAGUCUUUUAAUUGAAGGCUGGAAUGAAUGGUUGAAUGAAAUAUUAACUGUUUCAUAAAAAUUGUAAAUAAAAUUUUAUUUUUUAGUCAAAAAGCUAAAAUAAUUUUAAAAGACGAGAAGACCCUAUAAAUCUUUAUAUUUAAGUAAUUCUAAUUAUUUAGAUAAAUUGAAUUAUGAUUACUUUAAGUAUUUUAUUGGGGUGAUAUUAAAAUUUAAUAAACUUUUAAUUUAUUAUUAACAUAAAUUAAUGAAUUAAUUGAUCCAUUUAUUAUGAUUAAAAAAUUAAGUUACUUUAGGGAUAACAGCGUAAUUUUUUUAGAGAGUUCAUAUUGAUAAAAA